AGGGUCGGAUUUGAAAUAAAACCAAAAAGUUGCUCAGACUUGGGCUCGUUAAUGUCUUAACUGAAUGUUGAGCCUGUCUGUUUAAAAGCUUCAUCGCUGGGUUAUACAGCCCGGUUAGAUUACGCAGUACUUGCACUAAAAGUUUGCCACCUUGGGGGGGAGCUUUUUGCUGAUUUAAAAUGUUUCACAAUUGUACAUUGGCGUAAAAGUGCGGUACUGAUUUACUAAAGAGAACAUUGAAUUGAUCUCUAAAUCAAACAUACCACCUC
This 269-nucleotide unclassified non-coding RNA is filed under the name Isotomiella minor. RNAcentral describes it as "sequence contains 5.8S rRNA gene and ITS2". Lineage: Eukaryota; Metazoa; Arthropoda; Collembola; Entomobryomorpha; Isotomidae. The record is from RNAcentral.